This is a long non-coding RNA of Manduca sexta (tobacco hornworm), 319 nucleotides long. RefSeq lists it as uncharacterized. NCBI's taxonomy places the organism in Eukaryota, Metazoa, Arthropoda, Insecta, Lepidoptera, Sphingidae. The transcript has 2 exons. The record is from RefSeq and is a predicted model, not a curated record.
GUUAAAUACUCGCACGCGUAUAAAAGCAUUACCAACCUAAACAUUUUUAUCACAAAUAUACUUGUUUUAAUCAUGAAAAUAAUACUGUUUCUACUGUUGGCAAUGGCUAUGGUAAAUGCCUUACAAAACUCAAAUAUUAUUUGCAAUUGCCCACCAGAAUCUCCAGAUAUUUGUGGCAAUAACGGCGUAACAUAUCGCGGCUGGUGUAACUUCAACUGUGGAAAAAAUUAUUACCCAAAUCUGGCAGUGCAGCACAUGGGAUCCUGCUGAUUGACAUUUUUAUCAAUGCAAAUUGAUAAUAAACAUUUAUGUGAAAUUC